Molecule: transfer RNA, 72 nt
Filed under: Gaetbulibacter sp. S0825
Lineage: Bacteria; Pseudomonadati; Bacteroidota; Flavobacteriia; Flavobacteriales; Flavobacteriaceae
Also listed under: 1 other name
Description: tRNA-Pro
Rfam family: tRNA
About the family: Transfer RNA (tRNA) molecules are approximately 80 nucleotides in length. Their secondary structure includes four short double-helical elements and three loops (D, anti-codon, and T loops). Further hydrogen bonds mediate the characteristic L-shaped molecular structure. tRNAs have two regions of fundamental functional importance: the anti-codon, which is responsible for specific mRNA codon recognition, and the 3' end, to which the tRNAs corresponding amino acid is attached (by aminoacyl-tRNA synthetases). tRNAs cope with the degeneracy of the genetic code in two manners: having more than one tRNA (with a specific anti-codon) for a particular amino acid; and 'wobble' base-pairing, i.e. permitting non-standard base-pairing at the 3rd anti-codon position.
Source: RNAcentral
CUGGGAGGAUAACGAUGGUUGUUUACUCGCUUUGGAAGUGAGAGGUUGUAGGUUCGAAUCCUGCUUCUCAGA